CCUACGGGAGGCAGCAGUGGGGAAUCUUGCGCAAUGGCCGAGAGGCUGACGCAGCGACGCCGCGUGGGGGAUGAAGCAUUUCGGUGUGUAAACCCCUGUUGCUCGGGACGAACGACCCUUUUCGAGGGGUGUGACGGUACCGAGUGAGGAAGCACCGGCUAACUCCGUGCCAGCAGCCGCGGUAAUACGGAGGGUGCAAGCGUUGUCCGGAAUCACUGGGCGUAAAGGGCGCGUAGGUGGUUGGAUGCGCCGGUGGUGAAAGCGCAGGGCUCAACCCUGCGUCGGCCAUCGGGACGGUCCGACUGGAGCACUGUAGAGGCAGGUGGAAUUCCGGGUGUAGCGGUGGAAUGCGUAGAGAUCCGGAAGAACACCGGUGGCGAAGGCGGCCUGCUGGGCAGUUGCUGACACUGAGGCGCGACAGCGUGGGGAGCAAACAGGAUUAGAUACCCUGGUAGUCCACGCCGUAAACGAUGGGCACUAGGUGCUUGGGGGAGCGACCCCCUGAGUGCCGACGCUAACGCAUUAAGUGCCCCGCCUCGGGGAGUACGACCGCAAGGUUGAAACGUCAAAGGAAUUGACGG
This 581-nucleotide ribosomal RNA is filed under the name uncultured bacterium. Its description in RNAcentral is "bacterial SSU rRNA". It matches the Rfam family "Bacterial small subunit ribosomal RNA", at positions 338 to 916 of the family's 1533-position model. The record is from RNAcentral.